AAAACAGUUAUAGCGCCAGUACUGAAGAAAUCGUGAAUCUUCAGUAGACGAGGUGGAGGAGUAUCGAAGUUUUCGGCGGAUGCCUCCCGAUCGCAAUGCCCGAUCGUUAUCUUGCUUUUAAAGGACUCAAGUGAUUGAGUAGACAGGGAAGCAAGAAGGCAAAUUA
This 166-nucleotide non-coding RNA is filed under the name Rummeliibacillus stabekisii. RNAcentral describes it as "GlcN6P sequence". It matches the Rfam family "glmS glucosamine-6-phosphate activated ribozyme aptamer". Rfam says of the family: This entry contains a glucosamine-6-phosphate activated ribozyme that is found in the mRNA for GlmS. GlmS is an enzyme that uses fructose-6-phosphate and glutamine to generate glucosamine-6-phosphate. The record is from Rfam by way of RNAcentral. Lineage: Bacteria; Bacillati; Bacillota; Bacilli; Caryophanales; Caryophanaceae.